CAUGCGGCUAUGAAGGAGAAAAGUAAAAUUCCCAUGUCUGACAGAGAGUGGGACUCGGCGGCUGGAAGGUCCCUCAGACUAAGAAUUUGAAACCCCGCUCCGGAGCUGUUCGGGAAUAACCGAACCGGUGGCCCCCGAUAUCAGGCAAAGAGGGAAUGCAGAGUUUGCCUGCAUUAACGAAGGUGGUACCGCGAAAGUGAACCUUUCGUCCUUUGG
Molecule: non-coding RNA, 216 nt
Filed under: Desulfotomaculum nigrificans
Lineage: Bacteria; Bacillati; Bacillota; Clostridia; Eubacteriales; Desulfotomaculaceae
Description: T-box sequence
Rfam family: T-box leader
About the family: Uncharged tRNA acts as the effector for transcription antitermination of genes in the T-box leader family. T-boxes are found upstream of many aminoacyl-tRNA synthetase genes and some amino acid biosynthetic genes usually in Gram-positive bacteria. The anticodon of a specific tRNA base pairs to a specifier sequence within the T-box motif, and the NCCA acceptor tail of the tRNA base pairs to a conserved bulge in the T-box antiterminator hairpin.
Source: RNAcentral